GGGCCAUUAGCUCAGUCGGUAGAGCACUUGACUUUUAAUCAAGGUGUCGGAGGUUCGAUUCCUCCAUGGCUCACCA
Molecule: transfer RNA, 76 nt
Filed under: Bacillota bacterium
Lineage: Bacteria; Bacillati; Bacillota
Also listed under: 2 other names
Description: tRNA-Lys
Rfam family: tRNA
About the family: Transfer RNA (tRNA) molecules are approximately 80 nucleotides in length. Their secondary structure includes four short double-helical elements and three loops (D, anti-codon, and T loops).
Source: RNAcentral